AAUUCUCAACCUUGAAAGGCUUGUCUUUUCAAUGGCUUGGAUGUGAAGGUUUUGCUGGCUUCCUUCAGUGGAUGGUCUGCUCCCUUUAAAAGCAUUAGUGGGAUCCUUUGUGGACGGUCACUUGGUGUGAUAAUUAUCUACGCCGUUUGUACUGUGAAGCAAAACUUGUGGGAACCUGCUUAUAACCGUCUGUAAUGGACAAUUUGAAA
This 209-nucleotide unclassified non-coding RNA is filed under the name uncultured Agaricales. Its description in RNAcentral is "sequence contains ITS2". The record is from RNAcentral. Lineage: Eukaryota; Fungi; Basidiomycota; Agaricomycetes; Agaricales.